CGCGGCAGCUAGGAGGUUCGCCACAACCAUCUUGCCAAGAAAAUUCAACCACGACUAUUAUUCCGUGUACAGGUGUAAACGCACACCUUAUUUCCUGAAGAAAAAUAUCAGCGCACGUGAUUCUUCGACAUCCAUUGGACGGGUGCUUGAAGGCUUGAAGCAUAAAUAGAUACUCCCUUCUACAUCCCAUCAUAUCAACGGUACCAUCUAUUUAAAAAAAAAAUGAGGGAGUAUCCUCUCUAUAUCGAACCAUGCAAAGACACACUCACGCACCCUUGGGCUAUAUAUUCUGGAUGCACUCAUCGCUGAACAGCGUAUGCUCUCCAGUUUCCACCGGCCUACCUAGAUCGGGAGAAUGGCUGACAGCUCCGCCGCCUCCCCCAUUCCGGUGGCCUAUUCAUCCGGUGAUCCUCCGUCUGCGACGCCGGUGCCCGUUCCAGGCAGUGAUCUUCCAGCUGCUCCGGCCGCCAAGUCUCAAGAAGCCUCUCCAGCUGUUCCGGUGAUCGAUCCUAGCAAAGAGGAGCGUAUGGGUUCUGGGCAUCCACUUCCCGGGGGUAAAGAUUAAAUACACUGGGCACAGGGACGUGUUAAAACCGUUCUCCUACAUCGAAUGUCCGGAACUGCCUUACGUGUACUGUGCACCGUGAGAUUGUGAUGUUGUUUCAGAUAAUUUCAGACACUAUGAUCAGGGAAUAAAUCCCCACUGGCGUUAGGCUAGUUACUGCUAGGGAUAAUGCAGAUCAGGCUGUGCAAUUGUAGACAAUUGUCUUGUAUCAAUAAAGUGCAGCCAGUUGGUGCCAAAGUAUACCUCUCUACA
Molecule: long non-coding RNA, 817 nt
Organism: Oryza sativa Japonica Group (Japanese rice)
Lineage: Eukaryota; Viridiplantae; Streptophyta; Magnoliopsida; Poales; Poaceae
Source: RefSeq, a predicted model, not a curated record